This 667-nucleotide ribosomal RNA is filed under the name uncultured Bacteroidota bacterium. RNAcentral's name for it is "bacterial SSU rRNA". It matches the Rfam family "Bacterial small subunit ribosomal RNA", at positions 784 to 1465 of the family's 1533-position model. The record is from RNAcentral. Lineage: Bacteria; Pseudomonadati; Bacteroidota.
ACCCCGGUAGUCCACGCCGUAAACGAUGGAUACUAGCUGUCGGGCUUUCGGGCUCGGUGGCCAAGCGAAAGUGAUAAGUAUCCCACCUGGGGAGUACGUUCGCAAGAAUGAAACUCAAAGGAAUUGACGGGGGCCCGCACAAGCGGUGGAGCAUGUGGUUUAAUUCGAUGAUACGCGAGGAACCUUACCAGGGCUUAAAUGUAGUGGGACAGGCUUAGAGAUAGGCUUUUCUUCGGACUCAUUACAAGGUGCUGCAUGGUUGUCGUCAGCUCGUGCCGUGAGGUGUCAGGUUAAGUCCUAUAACGAGCGCAACCCCUGCCGUUAGUUGCCAGCAAGUAAAGUUGGGGACUCUAACGGGACUGCCGGUGCAAACCGUGAGGAAGGUGGGGAUGACGUCAAAUCAUCACGGCCCUUACGUCCUGGGCUACACACGUGCUACAAUGGCCGGUACAAUGAGCAGCCACUGCGUAAGCAGGAGCGAAUCUAUAAAACCGGUCACAGUUCGGAUCGGGGUCUGCAACUCGACCCCGUGAAGCUGGAAUCGCUAGUAAUCGGAUAUCAGCCAUGAUCCGGUGAAUACGUUCCCGGGCCUUGUACACACCGCCCGUCAAGCCAUGGAAGCCGGGGGUACCUGAAGUCUGUCACCGCAAGGAGCGGCCUAGGGUAA